CCCUUAGAUGUUCUGGGCUGCACGCGCGCUACACUGAUGAGCUCAACAAGUGUGCAACUUUGCUUGAAAAGGCAGGGUAAUCUUUUGAAAACGUAUCAUGAUGGGGAUCGAUUAUUGCAAUUAUUAGUCUUCAACAAGGAAUUCCUAGUAAGUGUGAGUCAUCAACUUAUGCUGAUUACGUCCCUGCCCUUUGUACACACCGCCCGUCGCUCCUACUGAUUGAGUGAUCCGGUGAAUAUUUUGGACUGCAGCAUAGCUUAGUUCCUGAGUGUUGCAGCAUAAAGUUUAGUGAACCUUAUCACUUAGAGGAAGGAGAAGUCGUANCA
This 326-nucleotide ribosomal RNA is filed under the name uncultured eukaryote. RNAcentral's name for it is "partial 18S ribosomal RNA". It matches the Rfam family "Eukaryotic small subunit ribosomal RNA", at positions 1470 to 1796 of the family's 1831-position model. The record is from RNAcentral.